GCUCUGGUGGUCCAGUGGUAGAAUUCUCACCUUCCAUGAAGGAGACCCAGGUUCGAUUCCUGGCUGAUGCA
This 71-nucleotide transfer RNA is filed under the name Loxodonta africana (African savanna elephant). It matches the Rfam family "tRNA". Rfam says of the family: Transfer RNA (tRNA) molecules are approximately 80 nucleotides in length. Their secondary structure includes four short double-helical elements and three loops (D, anti-codon, and T loops). Lineage: Eukaryota; Metazoa; Chordata; Mammalia; Proboscidea; Elephantidae. The record is from Rfam by way of RNAcentral.